RNAcentral lists this long non-coding RNA (293 nucleotides) under Elaeis guineensis (African oil palm). RNAcentral's name for it is "long non-coding RNA (EGUI_LNC064592)". Lineage: Eukaryota; Viridiplantae; Streptophyta; Magnoliopsida; Arecales; Arecaceae. The record is from RNAcentral.
CAAUAACAAAAGACGGAAGCAAAAGUCGAAGCCCGGUGCGGAAAGCUUCUUGGUAUAAACAGAAGCAGCCGAGGGGAGGAGCGUUAGCCCGGCCAGUCGGCCCGGGAAGCUCCAGCUCGUACUCCGAAGGAACCCCGUACUGAAUCCUAAUCAGUGAGAGUUCCUCCGGGGUCAGAGAGCUGGAGAUGGUAUCUGGUACAAAGACCGAACGAGGUUCAUCUACAGAACUAAGAUUUUAGGAGGCUGGAAUGGACGAACUCCUAGAACUGCUAGAGGAGGAAAUGCUGGAGGAC